UUCAUUUCAUAGCACAUUUGU
RNAcentral lists this non-coding RNA (21 nucleotides) under Caenorhabditis elegans. The record is from RNAcentral. Lineage: Eukaryota; Metazoa; Nematoda; Chromadorea; Rhabditida; Rhabditidae.